Molecule: long non-coding RNA, 6134 nt
Organism: Dreissena polymorpha
Lineage: Eukaryota; Metazoa; Mollusca; Bivalvia; Myida; Dreissenidae
Exons: 2
Source: RefSeq, a predicted model, not a curated record
UGUGGAAAAAUGAUGAUUUUUACAAAAAUUUUCAAUACCUGCAAAAAUUCCUCUGAAUAGUAAUUUUUCCUUUGUAAUAAAAAAUGUUUUGUUAACGUUUGAGCUGGUGUUGUGAAGCCUGCAUCAUCAACUGUUAGCUGUUUGCCACUUGAGAAGCCACAUUUUUCAUCCAAUCUUGAUGACACUUUUUCAGAUGAUUUAUCUAAAAAAAUCUAGAUUAAGUUUGCCUAGGGUUAACAUGUGUAUAAAAACUAGGUAAUCAGGUCAAGUAAAAGGGCAACCUUGUUACCACUCUAGAUGCCACAAUUAUGACUCAAUCUUGUUGAAACUAAUUCAGAAUUUUAAUCAAGCAAUAUCAAGACUAAAUUUUAAACCAUGUCAUGUUUGUCCAAAACCUAGAUCACCAGGUUAAAUAUAAGAAUAAUCUUGUUACCAAUUAAGAGGCCACAUUGACACAUAUGGCUCAAUCUUUAUGAAACUCUGUCAGAAUAUUUAGCCGGACAAUAUCUAUUCCCAAUUUCAAUCUGAUUCACAUGAGUCAAAAACUAGGUCACCAGUUUCAACCUUGUUACCACACUAGAGGCCACAUUUAUAACUAAAUCAUUGUAAAUUGUUUAUAACUAACUCUUUGUAAAUUGUCAGAAAGAUUAUUUUUACAUUAUCUGGGGUGAGUGCAAAUUUGGGUCAUGUACAUCCAAAAAGUAAGUCAUCUGGUCAACCUUAGAAAAACGUUGACACCACUGUAGAGGCUUCAUUUAUAAUUCAAACUUAAUGAACUUUUUUUAACAAUAUUUACCUCGACUGGGUUGAAAAAAAGAUCUUAUGAAAAUAUGAAGCAAGAUAAUUUAUGUCACAUCAUAAAACAGAAAGUUUAAAAUGCUUCUAUGAAUAAUUAUGUUUUUUUUUACCAGAACUUGAUAAUAACUUUGUAAUUUUAUACCAUUACUUAGGAAUAUUUUUGUUCAAAGAUUAAUUUGAUGUCAGGUUUGAAGACCUUGUGUUGCUAAAUCACAAUUAGCACAUGAAUGAUUGUUGAAGCCUGGACUAUAUUGCAGCGCCCCUUGACAUUAGUGAUAUAUUUUCACAUAGUGUCUGUCACAUGGCGCAUUCCACACUUCCACAUGAUGGUUAUCAAACCUUGAUUGAAAUUCUUCUUUUUGUUAUCACCGUGUAUUUUCUUAUUAGCUGUAAACUGUUGUUUUUUAUGCCCCCGGAUUGAAAGAUCGGGGGUAUAUUGUUUUUGGCCCAUCUGUCUGUCAUUCAUUCAUUGUGUGUGUCCCAAAACUUUAACCUAGGUUAAAGUUUGAUAACUUUUGCAAUAUUGAAGAUAGCAACUUCAUAUUUGGCAUGCAUGUGUAUCUCACUGAACUGCACAUUUUGAGAUGUGCAAAGUCAAUUUCAUCCUUCAAGGUCAAAGGCCAAAUAUGAUUGUAUUUUUCUUUCCUAAAACUUUAACCUUCGUUUAAGUUUGGUCAUAACUUUUUUAAUUUUGAAGAUAGCAACUUGAUAUUUGGCAUGCAUAUGUAUCUCAUGGAGCUGCACGCUUUAAGUGGUGAAAGGUCAAGGUCAUCCUUCAAGGUCAAAGGUCAAAUUUAUGGCUUUAAAGCGGCGCAAUAGCGGGCAUUGUGUUUCUAACAAACACAUCUCUUGUUUACAAUUAUUUUUCCUUCCUUGAUUAUCUAGGUAGAUCCCUAAAUUGUUUAAAUAUUUUAGAAUCUUCAAAAAUAAGAUUUUAAUAAUAAAUUGAGGUAAACAAUACUUGGUGUUUCUAAUUCAUAAAAUGUCUUGAGCAAUCAUGCUUGUAAAUUUGCUUUGGUUUUAAAUGAGUUUUGUUGCUUAUGCUAUAGCAUUUAUCUUUGUUGAGUCUAUAAAUAAAUGUUUUGUAUUAAUUAAACAAAUGCACGUGAUUAUAUGUAAUGAAAUAGUUGCACAUGAUAGUAAACCUAUUAUAUGUAUGCCUGUUUUGCUUUACCAGUAAGGCUGGAAGUGCUUGUGAAGGUCUUCAUGUUUUAAAGCUCAUUAAACUGGAAAUGACGUAUACCUUAAAUAUUACAUGUAUGAAUCUUUUUAAUUUGUAAUGAUGCCUAUUUCAGUUUCAGUACCUGAUAAGAUUUAAAAAUCUAUAUAUUAAAAUAUAUCCCAAAGACUAUAAAUCGAAAGGACUGUAAAGAUAUCAUGGAUGUGUGAAAGACAUAAACGAUUACUAUGGAUCCUCAUUUAUGCACAAGCCUUUUCGAAGGAUUUUGCCAAGGAGCAGGGGCAAAGGACAAUUGGACAGUCAACUAGGCAGUCAGUUUUCCCUGCAAUGUUGUAGUUGUCAUAUUCAGGCAUUAAAAUUGAGCACUUGAGUACUAAUAGUAAAUAGCAAAUAUAAACAUAUAACAUAUUACUCGAACACCCAUUAUAACAAGUAGUAAGCAUAAAACACAGCGCCUGGUGAAUGUUUGCUGUUCAUUGAUUCCUUUCCCCGAAAUUGCAAAUACUCUUUCUGUCCCUGAAACUGCAAAUACUCUUAAAAAUUGUUGCGGUGUCUGAUGGUUUGUUUUUAGUAAAAUUCAAUGAAAAUCAUGAAUAUUUAAAAAUGUCUCUUUCAUUUUUAAAUAUUAGUAUUUUUCCUGAUACAUGUACUUUUUUUGCUAUCAAUUCUAAAUGAAGAAGACUUGGAGGGACUUGAUCACAGAUUCUUGAGAUGACAGUUGUAACUUUUUUUCAAAAAUAUAAGAACACUACAAAUCAGGAAGUGAAAUACUAGAAUGACAUCAACAUACAGCUUUGUUUAUGCAUUAUCCUCAUUGAAAGUGAUAAAAUUAUAAAGCAUUAAAAACAAAAUACAAUUUAAUAAUUUGGAAUUACUGUGUUGUUUUUGUUUCUACGUGUUGAUCCUUUAUAUAGAAUUUAAAAUGUCUGCUAGUACCGGUAUAUAACACUGGAUGGCCAAUUAGUUGAAACAAUUUUUGGCUUUCUUAAAAAAAUGCACAGCUCUGUUAACAAGUCCCUUUAAAUAUUGUAUCAACAGGGUAUUUUCUUAAAUAUUGCUGUGGUUACAAAUACUUUCUUCUAGUCGUUAAUUAGUUUGAAAAUGACAAAGUUUUUACUGUGCAUAAUAUAUUUUUUAGUAAUUGAUUCUUCCAGAUCAAACAUUGGAUACCAAAUUCCUCCUUUACAAGGAUAAUUAAUAAAUGGUAUUGAUGAAUGUGCUUCAAUCAGAAAAUGAUCCUGUAUUGAAUCUAUUGAAAAGUAAAAUGAAUGUUAGUUAAACAGGCAAAAACUAGGUUGUUUGUUUCCAGUAACAAUGCAAUCAUGCACUUCAUAAAAUUAAUGUAAACAUGUUUGUUGCAAAGACCCAUGCACUUUAUAAAUGUAAACAUGUUUGUUGCAAUGACACAUUAACAUGCAGUCAUAUUAAGUCUUCUUUUAUAAGAUGAAUGAAUCUGUUACUUAACAAUGCAAUAAACAGGUAUUAUAGAUGUGUUUGAGCUUUACAUUUCAAAUACUGCAAUCUUUCUAAAAGAAAACCUGCUCACUUGUUUUGUCUUAAUUAGAAGUAAAUAUCUGUAACUGAUCAGACGCAGUCAUGAACAAUCUUUCUAUAUUUUCAGGUGUGUAAACACUGUAUGUGUAAUGUACUUUGUUUUAUGUAAAUUUGAAUGUCUGUGGUUUGGAACCCGCAGGGAUCAUGUUAACAUUAUCUUUGUAAAUCCAUGUGUUUAAUUUGCAAGUAUGACAUAAAAUGUCUUUCUGUAUGUCUGUCUACCUGUGUGUGUUUCAUGUGUGUGUGGCUGUCUGUAUGUCUGUUGGUCAUGAAAGAACUUUAGAGUCAUGGUUUAAUUAUAAGCUCGGUGUUUUCUGAAAAAAUCUGAGGUAUUGUCAUAGCCAGCUCGUCAUCUGACGUCCGCCGUCCACAUCAUGCUAAAACCUUUACAUUCGCUCUGAAAUCAAAGUGCUUCCACCUACAACUUUGAAACUUCAUACGUAGAUGCACCUUGAUGAGUUCUACACACCACACCCAUUUUGGGGUCACUAGGUCAAAGGUAAAGGUCACUGUGACCUCUAAAUUUUUUUACAAAGUCUGUCUAGUUUUCAUUUAUUCAAAACUGCACCCGUAGCCGAGCGUGGCACCCGUUAUGCGGUGCUCUGGUUCAUAUUUUAUUACAAAAUAAAUGCAUGCAUAAAUCAGAUUUGAAUUCUUCUGAUUAUAAUACAUGUUUCAUAUCUGUGCAUUCUACAAAAGUUAUAACGCAACAAAUGGAAACUAUAUUUCCUUAUUUAUAAUAUGCAAAAUGGAAAAUAUAUUUUAUUUAUAAACACGUUUUUCAGCUUUAAAUAUCUGCUAUAAUUUUUAAUUGAUUUGCAAAUGGAUAUGUUCAUAUGAACAAUAAUGAAACAUCUAUGGAAUAAUAAUGUACUUACUGAUAUCACAGAAGGAAUAUACAGUUUAAAAUUAUUGACUAUAACUUUUGCAUAGUGCAAUAUAUUCAAUAAUAUUGUGUAUAUCUUUUUUGAUAGUGUGUGUGUAAAUUUAUCUUUCAUUAUAAAGCUAUUCAUAUUGAGAUUUGAUUGCUUUUUAUAUUGCAACACGUUGAAUGUAACGUUUUAAACGUGUGCAUGUUCCGUUUGAGAUUUUAUGCAAUCUUUCAGAAACCAUUUAAAAAUUUUGAAGCAUUUAUGGUUUUGUUAUUAAAUAUAUGGUUUAAUGAAGGUUUUAUGUUUUGAUUUCAACAUAUUGUUAACAAAUUCAUCCCACAAUACACCAUCCUUUGAUUUUUUUUAAAAAUCUUUGAAUAAUGAAAGUUCAAACUUCAUUUGCAUAAUACAAGUUAUGAGUUAUCUAGAUUUUGAUAGUAAAUUAUUUAACUGUCAAGUUCACGUAUUAUCUCUCCCAACUAUUCUUCAAUCUAAACGUUUGAACGAACAUUGAACUGUAUAAUCUAUAACACUGUUACCCUAGUAUUUAUUUGCAACGGUACAAAUCUUAUCUAGAUUAUAAAACAAUAUACUUUGGUCCAAAAUGGCAAGCUUUGUUCUGGUACAUUUGGGUAGAUAGACAAAAAGGCAUUAACCUUAAAUUGCGUAUUUACAAAUUCAAAAUGAAUUUUGGUUAAAAAAAGGUUAGAUCAUUUGCUAUGGUUUGGUUCCGUUAGCAAAUACAUGUAAUUAUUAAAUGUGUAUCACUUCCAUUCUCCACCAUGGGCUGUCAACACAUUUUUAUGCUCCCCCAAAAAAUUUGGGGGGGGGGCAUAUUGUCGCCGCUUAGUCUGUCUGUCCGUCCGUCCGUGUGUCUGUCCGUGCACAAUUUUUGUCUGGGCUAUUUCUCAGCAACUAAUGACCAGAAUUCAAUGAAACUUUAUGGGAAACUUCACUACCAAGAGGAGAUGUGCAUAUUAUCAGCGGGUUCUGGUCGGAUGAUUUUUCACAGAGUUAUGGCCCUUUGAAAUUUUCCAUUAACUGUACAUAUAGUGCAAUUCUUGUCCGGGCUAUUUCUCAGCAACUAAUGACUGGAAUUCAAUGAAACUUUAUGGGAAGCUUCACUACCACACUACCAAGAGGAGAUGUGCAUAUUAUCAGCGGGUUCUGGUCGGAUGAUUUUUCACAGAGUUAUGGCCCUUUGAAAUUUUCCAUUAACUGUACAUAUUGUGCAAUUCUUGUCUGGGCUAUUUCUCAGCAACAAAUGACCGGAAUUCAAUGAAACUUUAUGGGAAGCCUCACUACCAAGAGGAGAUGUGCAUAUUAUCAGCGGGUUCUGAUCGGAUGAUUUUUCACAGAGUUAUUGCCCUUUGAAAUUUUCCAAUAACUGUACAUAUAGUGCAAUUCUUGUCUGGGCUAUUUCUCAGCAACUAAUAACCGGAAUUCAAUGAAACUUUAUGGGAAGCUUCACUACCAACAGGAGAUCUGCAUAUCAUCAGCGGGUUCUGGUCGGAUGAUUUUUCACAGAGUUAUGUCUCUUUGAAAUUUUAUAUAAAAAUAUUCUCGUCCCCCCAACAACUGUGCCCUCAAGACGUUUCCUUUUAUCUGAAUGUAUAGUGCACUAUUGUGACAAAAAAAAACCUUUGGGGAGCAUCCCCCGUCUCCGACGGUUUCCUGUUUCCAUGUUGAGGCGACGAUUAAAUCAAUAAACUUGAGUUCUUGAAAAUCUU